This 230-nucleotide unclassified non-coding RNA is filed under the name Hevea brasiliensis (rubber tree). Lineage: Eukaryota; Viridiplantae; Streptophyta; Magnoliopsida; Malpighiales; Euphorbiaceae. The record is from RNAcentral.
CGGCAUCGGAGAAACCAAGGACAGGGGAAACUGCAGGCGACCAGCGACGGCGAGGGAAAUUUCUCCACGAUUUUUGAACCUGAACCGCCGGGGGGCGCCAUUGGGUUGAUGGAAUUGUACAUUGUUAGAUGCUCGCACGGGAGGAGUCUCUUUAGAGUCUUCAAGCCCUUCCCUGUUUCUCUGAAAACGAGUAUUUCCAAGCCCCACCACAUGUCAAUUCAAAACGUUAG